RNAcentral lists this ribosomal RNA (253 nucleotides) under uncultured bacterium. RNAcentral's name for it is "partial 16S ribosomal RNA". It matches the Rfam family "Bacterial small subunit ribosomal RNA", at positions 524 to 776 of the family's 1533-position model. The record is from RNAcentral.
GACGGAAGGUGCAAGCGUUGCUCGGAAUCACUGGGCGUAAAGGGUGCGUAGGCGGCCGUGCAAGUCUGGCGUGAAAGCCCCGGGCUCAGCCCGGGAAGUGCGCUCGAAACUGCGCGGCUCGAGUGCCGGAGGGGAGAGUGGAAUUCCUGGUGUAGCGGUGAAAUGCGUAGAUAUCAGGAGGAACACCAGAGGCGAAGGCGGUUACCUGGACAGUUACUGACGCUCAGGCACGAAAGCAUGGGGAGCAAAAGGG